GGCGCAACCCCGGCCCGCCCCCCGAACCCCGCGGCUCGGGUCCGGUAGGGGAGGGUGGAACACCCGGUGUAGCGGUGGAAUGCGCAGAUAUCGGGUGGAACACCGGUGGCGAAGGCGGCCAUCUGGGCAGAGACCGACGCUGAGGCGCGAAAGCUGGGGGAGCGAA
This 166-nucleotide ribosomal RNA is filed under the name uncultured bacterium. Its description in RNAcentral is "partial 16S ribosomal RNA". It matches the Rfam family "Bacterial small subunit ribosomal RNA", at positions 606 to 772 of the family's 1533-position model. The record is from RNAcentral.